This 460-nucleotide ribosomal RNA is filed under the name uncultured bacterium. RNAcentral describes it as "partial 16S ribosomal RNA". It matches the Rfam family "Bacterial small subunit ribosomal RNA", at positions 338 to 795 of the family's 1533-position model. The record is from RNAcentral.
CCUACGGGUGGCAGCAGUGAGGAAUAUUGGUCAAUGGGCGGAAGCCUGAACCAGCCAAGUCGCGUGAGGGAAUAAGGCCCUACGGGUCGUAAACCUCUUUUGCCGGGGAGCAAGGUCGGGGACGUGUCCCGGCCCGGAGAGUACACGGAGAAAAGGCAUCGGCAAACUCGGUGCCAGCAGCCGCGGUAAUCCGGGGGAUGCGAGCGUUAUCCGGAUUUAUUGGGUUAAAGGGGUGCGUAGGCGAGCGUUUAAGUCAGCGGUAAAAAUUCGGGGCUCAACCCCGUCCGGCCGUUGAAACUGGGGGUCUUGAGUGGGCGAGAAGAAGGCGGAAUGCGUGGUGUAGCGGUGAAAUGCAUAGAUAUCACGCAGAACCCCGAUUGCGAAGGCAGCCUUCCGGCGCCCUACUGACGCUGAGGCACGAAAGUGCGGGGAUCGAACAGGAUUAGAUACCCUUGUAGUC